CUACGGGAGGCAGCAGUGGGGAAUAUUGGACAAUGGGGGAAACCCUGAUCCAGCAAUGCCGCGUGUGUGAAGAAGGCCUGCGGGUUGUAAAGCACUUUCGGUUGGGAGGACUGCUUCUAGCACUAAUAUUGUUGGAAGUUGACGUUACCUUCAGAAGAAGCACCGGCUAACUCCGUGCCAGCAGCCGCAGGUAAUACGGAGGGUGCAAGCGUUAAUCGGAAUUACUGGGCGUAAAGCGCGCGUAGGCGGCUAGAUCAGUCGGGUGUGAAAGCCCCGGGCUUAACCGGGGAACUGCAUCCGAUACUGUCUAGCUGGAGUACAGGAGAGGAGAGUGGAAUUCCACAUGUAGCGGUGAAAUGCGUAGAUAUGUGGAGGAACACCAAUGGCGAAGGCAGCUCUCUGGCCUGAUACUGACGCUGAGGUGCGAAAGCGUGGGGAGCAAACAGGAUUAGAUACCCCAGUAGUC
RNAcentral lists this ribosomal RNA (466 nucleotides) under uncultured bacterium. RNAcentral describes it as "partial 16S ribosomal RNA". It matches the Rfam family "Bacterial small subunit ribosomal RNA", at positions 339 to 795 of the family's 1533-position model. The record is from RNAcentral.